CAGCAGCCACGGGAAUACGUAGGGGGCAAGCGUUGUCCGGAAUUAUUGGGCGUAAAGCGCGCGCAGGCGGUUCUUUAAGUCUGGUGUAUAAGUGCGGGGCUCAACCCCGUGAGGCACUGGAAACUGGGGAACUUGAGUGCAGAAGAGGAGAGCGGAAUUCCACGUGUAGCGGUGAAAUGCGUAGAGAUGUGGAGGAACACCAGUGGCGAAGGCGACUCUCUGGUCUGUAACUGACGCUGAGGAGCGAAAGCGCGGGGAGCGAACAGGAUUAGAUACCCCGGUAGUCCCUGUCUCUUAUACA
This 301-nucleotide ribosomal RNA is filed under the name uncultured bacterium. RNAcentral's name for it is "partial 16S ribosomal RNA". It matches the Rfam family "Bacterial small subunit ribosomal RNA", at positions 509 to 808 of the family's 1533-position model. The record is from RNAcentral.